Molecule: ribosomal RNA, 85 nt
Filed under: Bacteroidota bacterium
Lineage: Bacteria; Pseudomonadati; Bacteroidota
Source: RNAcentral
CACCUCUUCCCAUUCCGAACAGAGAAGUUAAGCCCGUUAGCGCCGAUGGUACUGCAUAUCGCGGAAGAGUAGGUCGCCGCCUCCU